UAACCCGAGAGGCUGUGAGGAAUGUGGCCCAGCUGCUGGUUUCCCUGGUGAUUGAUGAGCCAAGCUGAUGUCACUUCCCCCCUAUAAAUGGUAGCCUCCUCACCAGGGUGGGUAAGAAGGUUGCCGCGUCCUGCCUGCCUUUGGCCGUGCACCAUGAGUGGGCUGUUCCUCCAGGACCUUUUGCAUUGGAUGCUCUCUCUCCAGUUUAGAGUAGCAGCCUCAUGCUCCUGUUUCAUCUGACUGCCCGGGGAUGGCUGGUAAAUACGGACAAAGUGCAGGGAACUGGGUUAUCCACCAAAUACAGGCAAACCCCAGCUCACUACCCCUAACAAAUUACAGACACAAGCUUUAGGGAUAUUAACUGUUGGACAGGCUUGUGACCUGGAUGUGGCCAGUUACCUGGAAGGGUUGGGUUGGGGCCUCUGACAACAGCAAAAUAGUAAGAGUACCCUUGGGCUUCUGGUCCCAGCUGUGGAAAGGAGCAGAGCAAUGAUACUGUAUGAUGGAACGGCAGCUACACGCCAUCCAAGAUGCCUUCCAACAGGUGGAAGACAUUGCCAAAGGCCUACCUGCGUCAUCAAGCAAUGCAAACAACCCCACUUUCUGGCCAUGGAGUUCCGGAAGGCUGAGAACAACGCCCCACACUGGCGUUCCCACCUGCCCCUCAGCCCUACUGCUGCUGGGAUAAUUGAAAGGAUGAGUGGAUUGCUUAAACAGCAAUUGAGAUAGAAACCUACACUCUCAACACGUGGACCCAGGACGCGAACUCAGGCCCUGCAAACCAUCGCUGAACAUCCCAGGAGCAGCGUCCCAGUGCCUACACCAUGUUAACACAGUGCACCUGGUCAGCACAAUCCGAAUUCAACUGUGGACCACCAAACAUUCAACGCUGACUCUUGGUCAGGACAAUAACUCACAUUUGCCCUUGUCGCAGGAUCUAUGCCUAGGGGAACACAUGAUAAGGUGGGACUGGCAGCUCUAGGUUCUUCCUUUGGUUUCAAGACUGGACACAUAGCAGGCUUGCAGACCUGUGGGGUGCAGCCCAAUACCUCUUAAAUACAUGGAAAUGAUCUUGAUAACAGACUCCAAGUUUGCUCUACACAUAAAUGAAAGGAUACCGAGGAUCUGGACGGCCUUACCUUUACAUGAAAUGUGGUAAGCAAACAGCAGAAGGCAAGGAGAGUAUGCGUUCCAGGUAAGUCUUUGUCUCAGUGACACUUGGCUCACAUUCCAGGCCUUUCUCCCACAUCCUAUUUUUGCUCUGCCUUUAUUGAGGAUAAUUAUGACAUUUGUACUCUCAGGCUGAGUUCCUCUGGGGUUGCUCAACGGCUAGCUUUUGGCCUCAGUCUUAUGUUAUGUAUAGAAGGCAAAUUGUAUGUAGUCCUUUGGUUGAAAUUGAAAAAUGAAACAUUAACUUUGGAUUAAACAUUACAUAUUCCUUUUUUUUUUUGGCACUGAACAUUGAGUCCUUGUCUCUUUUCUAGAGUUACACUUAAUCAUACUUGGAAGUACAGUCCGGGGAAACAAAAUAAUAAUAAAUAACAAAAUCGCUACUGCUUACUGGGCACUUAACUCUCUGACAGCUACUGUGCUAAUUUCAUAAACAAAAUUCACAUUUUCACCUUCUUACAGUUAGAGAAAAAGACAAAGCUUAGUUUCCUUCAGGUCAUAUGACUAGACAAAAGCAAUGCCAGAACUUUCAUGCAACUCUCUCAGGCUUCAAAUAUGUAGGUCAGAGCAAUGCCCACUGAGCCCCAAAUAUUGAGCAUCUAAAUUUUUACACAUUGUGUUUCUUCCAGUCCAUUCAACCCAGCUGUAGCUGCUUUGGCCUGUAAAAGAAUUUUCGAGAAUGUUUUUAAAACAUUUGAAUAAAACAUUCUCAUUUAGUCAAUAUCCACAUGGACAUAGACUAUCUCCUGCCAUGUCAACAAAGGAUAUUGUGUCCAUCAAGUCGUUGGCCACUGCGGCUCGCCCUGUGGUGCCCUGAGGGGAAUUCGGGGUGAAGAAAGCGGGUUACCCACCACCACCACCACCACCACCACCACCACGCCGUCGCCUUCGCAGCUAAUCCCAGUGGUGCAUCCAGAAGGGAAUUCAGGAUGGAGGGAAAACAGGAUACUGGCCCGAGAGAAGUGAUCUUGGGAUGUUCUGACCACCUGGAUUUUUUGGCCAAAACUCCUAAAUAUCCUGGCUCCUGCCUGACCUCUUUGGAACAGUUGCUCGGAGCUGUCAGAGUUUGUAUCUGGACUUCAGUCCUCAGUAAUCCCACUGAAUUCUCAACUCGGAGGUUAUGUGGUGUUGUCUCUUGUUUGUUUUUUUCCAGUUGACAGUCAUGGUGACCAACUAAGGGACCCAGAGAAGACAUCUCUACUUUGCCUGAACGCUAUCGUAGCUGUGGUACCAGCAGAAGCCUCUCGUGUCCAUCGGCUUCUUCAGAGUCCACAUGACUUCGGAAUAGUCUAUCCUGAACCUUAGAUCUCCCCUUACUGGCUAUUGGUCCUAAUGAUGCAUAUUCGGUGCUGGUCAGCUCUUCCCUGGAGGAGUAGGUACGCCUUGAAACCUGGUUUAAAGAAGUACAUGGGUUGUCCUCAGUUAAAAGACCCAAUCGUCUGUGAUAAUCUCUGUGGGAAACUGAUCUGAGCGAGAAUGGAUGUGCUGUACGGCAGAAAUUAUCACAACAUUGCAAAUCAGCUAUACUUGGGUAAAACUUUAAAAAAUGAAAAAAAGAAAAAAAAAGACCUGGGACUCUACAUGCAGCUUAGACAAGAUGCAGAGUGCGUUAUCGCAGCUGAAAGACCAGGAAGACUUUGAUCAGUUGAAAGACUCUGAGCGCAGUUGGAUGAGUAAUUAGGUGGGAGACGGGCCUGUCUUUUUUUGUUUGAAUCGGCUUGAAUAGCUUGUCAAAAUAAAAGUGAAGAUAUCUCAUGAGAGCUUUCAGUUGCAAAGAGGGGACAUCUCUUCACGGUUGGCAACAGCUUUCGACGGCGAGGAAGAAACUCUUAGGAGUGGGGGAGGCAAGUCCCCCUGCCGGGCAGCCGUCCCUCUAGGGACACCCACUCAUCUUGAAUGAAAACAUUGCUGCCAGAGAGACAUGCACAAGACCUGGCCACUCAGUGAUCCGAGCACCCGUGGUUAAAAUGAUAAAAUCCCCUGAGAAGUGGCAGAGUCAGACAAAAGACUGCUCAGACUCGCAGUCUGUUUGACUGCCAAGUAUUUCUUUUAAGGUCCGAAUUCGAAAACAAUGUUUGAUCUAACAGACGUUCUAUAACUUUGUGUACGCAAUCGAAGAAGCCCAUCUGAGUCAUUUUCAGGGGGAGAUUUCCUUUAAUUCCCAAUUGAGUAAGGACUUUGAAGUGUAAACUUGUACAUCCAUAAACCUGGCUGAGGGGUUAGCUGAAGACGAGCAAUCUGUCGUUCCUUUUUGUCAUGACAGCUUUGUUCCCUAUCCCGAGCUCUGUCUGUGGAGACAGAAUAAACCAGUGUUGAUCUUGUGGUGGGUCCAAGUCCUCUUGGUGAGCCUAGUUCUUCUAGAAUUUCUUUUUCCUUUUUUCUUUUUGUCCGGCCACAGCUAUGGAGUUCCUAGGACAGGGACCAGCUGCAGCAGUGCCAGAUCCUUGAAUCCGCUGCAACUGGCCGGGGAUUGAACCCUCGACCUGUGCUGUGGCAGUUGGAUUCUUAACCCACUGCACCACAGGGCAUGCUCCCUAACUCCUCUAGUUUUUAUCCUACAGGAGUGGUUCCAGCUCUUAGGUUUCUCGGUUCUCCCUUCUGUAGUCUAAGUCCACCAUGGGUGCUCCUAGGUGAUGCUGGGGAGUAAACUCUCUGAAUCUUCUAUAGAAAACAUCUCUCCCCCUGUCAUGUGGGAGCACCUCUUGGGUCUUACUGAUUUCAGCCAUUAUUAAGAUAUUUCACAAAUGGCUGCACAAUGGGUCCUUUAAAUUGGAGAAGCUUCUGCAUUGGUGAGUUUUUACAGCAUCCUCAAUAUAAACAGCUAUUUGGCUGAUACCUAUAAAAAAAGGUUAAAAGGUGGAAAAUUAUAUAACAGUUAAUCUAAGAACACCCUUAAUUUAAACAAACAAAAGGUUUGGGGAAGCCCUAUUCAUGGUCGUCUCCUUCCCCUCAGUGGGUCUCAAGACGCUGCUAGGAACAUUCAUGUUAAUUAGGUUGAUUAACAAGGAAGUAAGAAAAAACUGAAGGUAAGUCUAGAGACUGAUUUUUCAAUGAGGAAAUUUUAAAAGGACUACAGGUAUAUCUUAGUCCUGAGAUACAUCUUCAGAUGGUUUUUAAGAAAUAAAGUGGACAUGAAAAGGAUUGAGACAGGGAGUUGCCAUUGUGGCUCAGUGAUAAUGAACCCAAUUAGUAUCUGUGAGGAUGCGAGUUUUGAUCUCUGGCCUUGCUCAAAGGGUUAA
This is a non-coding RNA of Sus scrofa (pig), 4409 nucleotides long. NCBI's taxonomy places the organism in Eukaryota, Metazoa, Chordata, Mammalia, Artiodactyla, Suidae. The record is from RefSeq and is a predicted model, not a curated record.